GCCGAGGUGGCGAAACGGCAACCGCACAGCACUCAAAAUGCUGCGAGCUCAUGCUCUUGAGGGUUCAACUCCCUCCCUCGGCA
Molecule: transfer RNA, 83 nt
Filed under: Candidatus Staskawiczbacteria bacterium RIFCSPHIGHO2_01_FULL_41_41
Lineage: Bacteria; Candidatus Staskawicziibacteriota
Also listed under: 2 other names
Description: tRNA-Leu
Rfam family: tRNA
About the family: Transfer RNA (tRNA) molecules are approximately 80 nucleotides in length. Their secondary structure includes four short double-helical elements and three loops (D, anti-codon, and T loops). Further hydrogen bonds mediate the characteristic L-shaped molecular structure. tRNAs have two regions of fundamental functional importance: the anti-codon, which is responsible for specific mRNA codon recognition, and the 3' end, to which the tRNAs corresponding amino acid is attached (by aminoacyl-tRNA synthetases). tRNAs cope with the degeneracy of the genetic code in two manners: having more than one tRNA (with a specific anti-codon) for a particular amino acid; and 'wobble' base-pairing, i.e. permitting non-standard base-pairing at the 3rd anti-codon position.
Source: RNAcentral